RNAcentral lists this ribosomal RNA (1381 nucleotides) under bacterium NLAE-zl-G234. RNAcentral describes it as "bacterial SSU rRNA". It matches the Rfam family "Bacterial small subunit ribosomal RNA". The record is from RNAcentral.
GCAGCAUUUCAGUUUGCUUGCAAACUGGAGAUGGCGACCGGCGCACGGGUGAGUAACACGUAUCCAACCUGCCGAUAACUCGGGGAUAGCCUUUCGAAAGAAAGAUUAAUACCCGAUGGUAUAAUNANACCGCAUGGUCUUGUUAUUAAAGAAUUUCGGUUAUCGAUGGGGAUGCGUUCCAUUAGGCAGUUGGUGAGGUAACGGCUCACCAAACCUUCGAUGGAUAGGGGUUCUGAGAGGAAGGUCCCCCACAUUGGAACUGAGACACGGUCCAAACNNNNNNGGGAGGCAGCAGUGAGGAAUAUUGGUCAAUGGGCGCAGGCCUGAACCAGCCAAGUAGCGUGAAGGAUGACUGCCCUAUGGGUUGUAAACUUCUUUUAUAUGGGAAUAAAGUUUUCCACGUGUGGAAUUUUGUAUGUACCAUAUGAAUAAGGAUCGGCUAACUCCGUGCCAGCAGCCGCGGUAAUACGGAGGAUCCGAGCGUUAUCCGGAUUUAUUGGGUUUAAAGGGAGCGUAGGUGGACAGUUAAGUCAGUUGUGAAAGUUUGCGGCUCAACCGUAAAAUUGCAGUUGAUACUGGCUGUCUUGAGUACAGUAGAGGUGGGCGGAAUUCGUGGUGUAGCGGUGAAAUGCUUAGAUAUCACGAAGAACUCCGAUUGCGAAGGCAGCUCACUGGACUGCAACUGACACUGAUGCUCGAAAGUGUGGGUAUCAAACAGGAUUAGAUACCCUGGUAGUCCACACAGUAAACGAUGAAUACUCGCUGUUUGCGAUAUACAGUAAGCGGCCAAGCGAAAGCAUUAAGUAUUCCACCUGGGGAGUACGCCGGCAACGGUGAAACUCAAAGGAAUUGACGGGGGCCCGCACAAGCGGAGGAACAUGUGGUUUAAUUCGAUGAUACGCGAGGAACCUUACCCGGGCUUAAAUUGCAUUUGAAUAUAUUGGAAACAGUAUAGCCGUAAGGCAAAUGUGAAGGUGCUGCAUGGUUGUCGUCAGCUCGUGCCGUGAGGUGUCGGCUUAAGUGCCAUAACGAGCGCAACCCUUAUCUUUAGUUACUAACAGGUCAUGCUGAGGACUCUAGAGAGACUGCCGUCGUAAGAUGUGAGGAAGGUGGGGAUGACGUCAAAUCAGCACGGCCCUUACGUCCGGGGCUACACACGUGUUACAAUGGGGGGUACAGAAGGCAGCUACCUGGUGACAGGAUGCUAAUCCCAAAAGCCUCUCUCAGUUCGGAUCGAAGUCUGCAACCCGACUUCGUGAAGCUGGAUUCGCUAGUAAUCGCGCAUCAGCCAUGGCGCGGUGAAUACGUUCCCGGGCCUUGUACACACCGCCCGUCAAGCCAUGAAAGCCGGGGGUACCUGAAGUACGUAACCGCAAGGAGC